RNAcentral lists this unclassified non-coding RNA (1046 nucleotides) under Hevea brasiliensis (rubber tree). The record is from RNAcentral. Lineage: Eukaryota; Viridiplantae; Streptophyta; Magnoliopsida; Malpighiales; Euphorbiaceae.
AUAUUUGAAUACUGAAUAAUUUUACCAGACAUUGCACUUGUUUUGUGUCCCCUUCUUUUAUUUGUUUUAGUAUGAGCAUGCAUUGAUGUAAAGCUAGAAGUGUUGAUAGCAGUGGUAGGAAGUGGCAGUCGUGUGAAUCAGAGAUAGGGGGUGGCAGUCACUUGGAUUCAGUAGGAAGGAUUUUCUUUAGCUUAUAGCUUGUAUUUUACGAAUAUGGAGUUCGUAUGUCACAGUACAGUUUUUCAAUUAAACUUAAACGAAAAGCUGUUGUUUAUGCAAAGAGUGCUGAGCAAUAAAGAAACAUGCCAAACAAUGAUUGUUGCAGAGAUAAGAUGGGUGGAUAUUGCAGGAAAAGCUAUGAACUUAACCAUGAAGAAAUGGAUUGAACUGAGGACAGAUGAAGGAAAAAUGGCUUGUUAUGAGUGAAGGGGAUCAAAGACAAGUGGAACCUAAGGAUUCAAAUUAUGGAAGAUGGUAAUAUUGUGGACUUGAACCAGGAUCUUACUUCUGAUGGAUAGGAAUGGUGCAAAAUGAGUGAUCAUAUAUUGGCACCCAUGAGGUUUGGUUGAGCUCUAUGCUUGGUUGAAUGGGCUUUCAGUUAUCUACAUUCUUUUCUGAAAACAAUCUCUGAUGAGAGAAAUCUGCAAGUUUUGAAUGUCCUUGGCAUUUCUUCACUGGGCUUUUGGCUUUUGGCUAUAUUUCUUUUCACUACAUGGCCCAAAAACUUCCUGGCUUGCUCAUUUUUUUCCUUUUGUUGCUCCUUUGUCUUCUUUUGCAUGCCCUUGUGCUGCAGCCACUUCACUUUUUUUGCCUUAUUUUUUGUUUACAUUAUCUCUGGAAGUUAGUUGAUGUAAUAAAAUAGGGUUGCUUGUUUGCAGUUUGGUCGGAUUGGAUUGGUGCGCUUGUUUCUAGUAUGAUUUGAUGGCAUUUUUUUUCCCUGUAAUUGGGUGCUUUCAUAGAAUCCUGAUUAAAGUUUCAAGAUAUUUGACAGUGAUUAAAAUGAACAUUCAAUGGUAGUGUUAAGCCUUCUAAAGGCUUUAAAAACC